This is an RNA transcript of Cercocebus atys (sooty mangabey), 1419 nucleotides long. It is a transcript of the gene named Ig gamma-4 chain C region-like, with no coding region annotated. The transcript has 6 exons. NCBI's taxonomy places the organism in Eukaryota, Metazoa, Chordata, Mammalia, Primates, Cercopithecidae. The record is from RefSeq and is a predicted model, not a curated record.
UGGGGCAGGGAGGGGGCCAAGGUGAGGCAAGUGGCACCAGCCAGGUGCACACCCAAUGCCCGUGAGCCCAGACACUGGACCCUCGCUGAGAGACAAGAACGGAGGGGCCUCUGCGCCCUGGGCCCAGCUCUGUCCCACACCGCAGUCACAUGGUGCCACGUCUCUUGCAGCCUCCACCAAGGGCCCAUCGGUCUUCCCCCUGGCGUCCUGCUCCAGGAGCACCUCCCAGAGCACAGCGGCCCUGGGCUGCCUGGUCAAGGACUACUUCCCCGAACCCGUGACCGUGUCGUGGAACUCAGGCGCCCUGACCAGCGGCGUGCACACCUUCCCGGCUGUCCUACAGUCCUCAGGGCUCUACUCCCUCAGCAGCGUGGUGACCGUGCCCUCCAGCAGCUUGGGCACCCAGACCUACACCUGCAACGUCGUUCAUGAGCCCAGCAACACCAGGGUGGACAAGAGAGUUGGUGAGAGGCCAGCGAGGGAGGGAGGGUUAACUCCCAAUCUUCUCUCUGCGCAGUGUCCAAGUGGUCCCAACUGCCCACCGUGCCCAGCACCUGAACUCCUGGGGGGACCGUCAGUCUUCCUCUUCCCCCCAAAACCCAAGGACACCCUCAUGAUUUCCCGGACCCCUGAGGUCACGUGCGUGGUGGUAGACGUGAGCCAGGAAGACCCUGAUGUCCAGUUCAACUGGUACGUGGACGGCGUGGAGGUGCAUCAUGCCCAGACGAAGCCGCGGGAGGGGCAGUUCAACAGCACGUACCGCGUGGUCAGCGUCCUCACCGUCACGCACCAGGACUGGCUGAACGGCAAGGAGUACACGUGCAAGGUCUCCAACAAAGGCCUCCCGGGCCCUGUGGAGAAAACCGUCUCCAAAGCCAAAGGGCAGCCCCGAGAGCCGCAGGUGUACACCCUGCCCCCGUCCCGGGAGGAGCUGAUCAAGAACCAGGUCAGCCUGACCUGCCUGGUCACAGGCUUCUACCCCAGCGACAUUGUCGUGGAGUGGGAGAGCAGCGGGCAGCCGGAGAACACCUACAAGACCACCCCGCCCGUGCUGGACUCCGACGGCUCCUACUUCCUCUACAGCAAGCUCACCGUGGACAAGAGCAGGUGGCAGCCGGGGAAUGUCUUCUCAUGCUCCGUGAUGCAUGAGGCUCUGCACAACCACUACACCCAGAAGAGCCUCUCCGUGUCUCCGGAGCUGCAACUGGAGGAGAGCUGUGCGGAGGCGCAGGACGGGGAGCUGGACGGGCUGUGGACGACCAUCACCAUCUUCAUCACACUCUUCCUGCUAAGCGUGUGCUACAGUGCCACCGUCACCUUCUUCAAGGUGAAGUGGAUCUUCUCCUCAGUGGUGGACCUGAAGCAGACCAUCGUCCCCGACUACAGGAACAUGAUCGGGCAGGGGCCCUAGGGCCACCC